Molecule: long non-coding RNA, 3289 nt
Filed under: Sus scrofa (pig)
Lineage: Eukaryota; Metazoa; Chordata; Mammalia; Artiodactyla; Suidae
Description: lncRNA (ENSSSCG00000052838.1, ENSSSCG00160005912.1)
Source: RNAcentral
UCCAUGACAUAGUUUCUUUCAUGCCUUGAAAAACUUUCUUCUGAGAGGUGACCUGUAGGCUUUGCCAGAUUGCCUAAGGAAUCCAUGGCUUGGGCAAGGUUAAGACCCUAAGUAAAAGGAAAGCAGGGAGGCUCUUUGACCUUGACUGUUGCCAUUUAGUAGUGAAGCCAGACAGGGUGGGUGGGGACUGGGUCCCAAGGGCUGGAUGGGCCACCGUAGAGAGCUCAGGUUUUAUGUUAAGGGCAAUGGGACGUCAUCAGAGGCUUCUGGAAAGAGAGGCUACUGGAUCCGAUUUAAGUCUUGGGCCACUCUGGCUGCUGAGGGGGGGACAAGAUUUGUUGAGGUGCAGAGUGGUGUCCCAGAGACCGUGAAAGGCCAGCUCAGUUGGAUGGUGGUGGUAGGGAUGAAGGUGGGGAAACGGGUCAUGAUUACGAAUGUGGGUGAAAGGUGUAGAAGCAAUAGGAUUUGGCAGGAUGUGGGUGUGUGAAGAGAAAGACUUUUAGGUCUAGAGCCAAUGUGUGAGUAGCGGCGACACUUUUCAGAAUGGAAAAGGUUAAGAGGAGUAGGUUUGGGAAUGGGGAGCAAAGUGGCUGUGAAGCCAAGUUCUCUUUGAACAUGUUGCCCUUGGAAUGCCUACCAGCCAUCCUCAUGGGGCUGCUGAAUGGAGAGCUGCCUAUGAGCAUGGGACUUGCAAAGGGUAAGGAGUGGAGAACUCACUAUUGGAUCCAUAAAGUUGUGGAUCCAAGGAGAAGAUUGAUCCAGUGUUCUGGGGGCUGGGACGGGGGGGGGGCAACGUUACCUUGCAUGCCCUGAAGGAUUUUGUCUUCCCUUGUUCCAAAGGGUUUACUUCAGUGUUGACUGUAUAUAAACAUGGAGGCCCAUGGAAGUGUAUUUAUGACAUCAGGUAGUUCACCCUUUAGUAGUCCCUCAACCCAUCUUUUCCACGUAAUAUCCAUGGACAGUCCUGGAGGUGAGGACCAGUUAUCUAAAUGCAAGGGAUUGGGGCAUAGGGCAGUGAAAACCAUCUAAUCAAGUUGCAUUAUGCGUCAGGCCCAUCUCAUUCCAGAGGGGAUCAUUUGAUGGAAAAGUGAAAGACUGCAGUUAACUGAUUGGGAACCCCCUCCCCUUGCUCCACUGGCCUAAGUAUGGCCACCCAAGCUUCCUCUCUCACGGACAAGGAUGGAGUCAAGAUAAUAGGAAAUUAGGGAGUUCCCACUGUGGCUCAGAGGGUUACGAAUCCAAGUAAUAUCCGUAAGGAUGUGGGUUCAACCCCUGGCCUCACUGAGUGGGUUAAGGACCCAACAUUGCCAUGAGCUGUGGUAUAGGUGACAGACACGGCUCAGAUCUGGCAUUGCUGUGGCUGUGGUGUAGGCUGGCAGCUGUAGCUCUAAUUUGACCCCUAGCCUGGGACCUUCCAUAUGCCGUGAGUGCAGCCUUAAAAAGAAGAAGAAAAAAAAAAGACAAUAAGAAAGUCACCACCAGACAUCACACCUGGGUUCUAGCUCCCAGAGGUUGGAAAGGAUCCUUGCGUCUCUGCUAAGUCCAGAGCGAUUAUCCUAGCUCUUCAGAGACCACCUGCCUAUGUAUCACAAUGGUGAAAAGUAAACCUAUCAAAAGCAAGGACUUGUAAGUUCCACCAUUACCCUUCCCCCUGCAUCUCUGGAAUCAUCUUGGCUCAGGUUGACUCUUGGGGACUUUUUAAGGCUGGAUUGUGGGGUGCCAUUUCCAGACAUGCAAAUGGUGUAGAGAGGAGCCCCACUGAGGACAAUGGGGAGGAAAACGGCACCCCCCUCCCGCUCUUCAAGGCCUGGGAGAGGACUAGCCGAUGCAGUUGCAGAGCACCAAGCAGUGCCCUUGGGGAGAAACAAGACAUCCACCAUCUGACUGGCUUUGGACUUUGUGGGCAGAGUCCAAGAUCAGACAAAGGGUGCCUGAGAAAUAAGCUAGAACACUUGACUCUUCAAUCCUCCAAAAUGUCUACAGUUUAAUUAAAAGAGAGGUUGAGCUUGGCGCUCUUUAGGAGCUCUUUUUAAUUAAACUUUGCAUUUCUUCUCUCUGCUCUGCAGAGGCAUUCCAGGGCAGCUCUUGGCUUUGAAUGCGCAGUCGUUUUGGCCACACGCAGAUGGUCUGGAAGAGCCCCGCUGCUGAGUUCAUGGAAUUCUUAAAUGGGAAUAUCAUUGACUUUUCCUUUUCACCCAUAUUUGGAAACUGGCAUGAGUGUUAAUGAAACUUGUAUGUUCUGAGAUCUUUGGUGGGCUGUUUGCAAAAUAUCGGACUCCAUGUAGGACUCAGAUGUUGACAGAGUUUCAGGUCAAAUUUCAGUCCUUUCAUCUCUAAAAUGGUGUCACAGUUCUCCCUCUUAACACAAAAGUAUUUCACACUUUGGGUGAGGACAAAAAAAGUUCAUGACAAUGUGUGUGUCGUGACAUCUAAAGCAUGGUAGGUAGCCAGAAUGCAUGAGAGCUGGGACACUAGUCGCCCUGCCACCCUGCAUGAAGGUGAGGACGCCACCACUGCAGACAUUGUUUGAGUCUAAAAGGAUCCAUUUUGGGUUUUUUUUUUUUUUUUUAAUUUUAGUUGAUUUACAAUGUUGUGCCAAUUUCUGCUGUACAGUAAAGUAUCGAGUUUAAAGAUCAGAGUGGAGAGAAUCCCAUCUGGAGUAAAAAAGGACAUCAAAUUAUGAUGGAGACAUUAUUCUCAUAAAUUGCUCAUGGUCUAACUGGGGGAGGGCUUUGUACACCUUGCAGAAAACUGAUUGACAGGUAAGAAAGAGCAAACAGAUUGACGGGUAAGAAAAGAGGAUGAGAUUAGGAAAGAUGGGUGAAUGGAGCUGGAUGGUGUGGUAAUUGCCUUCCUAUAAUACUGGCAGUACUAAUUUGAAACUGUGGGACCAUUUUCUGCUCUGUAGAAACGUACUUCACAACCCACCCCCACCCCCUGAACGGUUCAGCUGAAUUCUCUGCAUGUGUAUCCAUAAUCCAGAUGUCUCUAUCUAAACUCUUAGGGGAGACAAAUGAGUCAGAACAACAUAGAUUUCAGAUUGGAAACAAAAUACAUGUAAUUCAGAUUGUUAAAAUCCACGAUCAGCCACGAUGGGGCUAAAAAUAUUACCAUGAUCUUCCCAACAAAUUUUGUUAUAGAAUGUUCUUUUAGAGAGUGGCAAAACAAACUCCUAAAAUUGAUACUAGAAUUUUUAAAAAAUCAUUUGCAGAAGUUCUCUUGUGGCGCAGUGGGUUAAGGAUCUGGCAUUGUCACUGCAGUGACUUGGGUUACUUCUGUGGCACGGGUU